This 269-nucleotide ribosomal RNA is filed under the name uncultured bacterium. RNAcentral describes it as "partial 16S ribosomal RNA". The record is from RNAcentral.
CUGCUGCCUUCCGUAGGAGUUUGGACCGUGUCUCAGUUCCAAUGUGGGGGACCUUCCUCUCAGAACCCCUACGCAUCGUCGGCUUGGUGGGCCGUUGCCCCACCAACUACCUAAUGCGCCGCAUGCCCAUCCAUGACCGGGGUGCCCCCUUUGACCGGCAGGGGAUGUCCCCUCCCGGCACUAUGUUGUAUUAGGCGGGAUUUCUCCCGGUUAUCCAUCUGUCACGGCCAGGUUGCAUACGUGUUACUCACCCGUGCGCCGGUCGCCGG